UGGGGAAUAUUGGACAAUGGGCGAAAGCCUGAUCCAGCCAUGCCGCGUGUGUGAAGAAGGUCUUCGGAUUGUAAAGCACUUUAAGUUGGGAGGAAGGGCAGUAAGCGAAUACCUUGCUGUUUUGACGUUACCGACAGAAUAAGCACCGGCUAACUCUGUGCCAGCAGCCGCGGUAAUACAGAGGGUGCAAGCGUUAAUCGUAAUUACUGGGCGUAAAGCGCGCGUAGGUGGUUCGUUAAGUUGAAUGUGAAAGCCCCGGGCUCAACCUGGGAACUGCAUCCAAAACUGGCGAGCUAGAGUAGGGCAGAGGGUGGUGGAAUUUCCUGUGUAGCGGUGAAAUGCGUAGAUAUAGGAAGGAACACCAGUGGCGAAGGCGACCACCUGGGCUCAUACUGACACUGAGGUGCGAAAGCGUAGGGAGCAAACAGG
Molecule: ribosomal RNA, 429 nt
Filed under: Pseudomonadota bacterium
Lineage: Bacteria; Pseudomonadati; Pseudomonadota
Description: Proteobacteria bacterium partial 16S ribosomal RNA
Rfam family: Bacterial small subunit ribosomal RNA
Source: RNAcentral